This 497-nucleotide ribosomal RNA is filed under the name uncultured bacterium. RNAcentral's name for it is "partial 16S ribosomal RNA". It matches the Rfam family "Bacterial small subunit ribosomal RNA", at positions 28 to 507 of the family's 1533-position model. The record is from RNAcentral.
GAUGAACGCUGGCGGCGUGCCUAAUACAUGCAAGUCGAGCGAACGGACGAGAAUCUUGCUUCUCUGAUGUUAGCGGCUGACGGGUGAGUAACACGUGGAUAACCUACCUAUAAGACUGGUAUAACUUCGGGAAACCUGAGCUAAUACCGGCUGAUAUUUUGAACCGCAUUGUUCAAAAGUGAAAGACGGUCUUGCUGUCACUUAUAGAUGUAUCCGCGCUGCAUUAGCUAGUUGGUAAGGUAACGGCUUACCAAGGCAACGAUGCAUAGCCGACCUGAGAGGGUGAGCGGCCACACUGGAACUGAGAAACGGUCCAGACGCCUACGGGAGGCAGCAGUAGGGAAUAUUCCGCAAUGGGCGAAAGCCUGACGGAGCAACGCCGCGUGAGUGAUGAAGGUCUUCGGAUCGUAAAACUCUGUUAUUAGGGAAGAACAUAUGUGUAAGUAACUGUGCACAUCUUGACGGUACCUAAUAAGAAAGCCACGGCUAACUACGUG